This 406-nucleotide ribosomal RNA is filed under the name uncultured bacterium. RNAcentral's name for it is "partial 16S ribosomal RNA". It matches the Rfam family "Bacterial small subunit ribosomal RNA", at positions 30 to 526 of the family's 1533-position model. The record is from RNAcentral.
AUUGAACGCUGGCGGCAGGCCUAACACAUGCAAGUCGAACGAGUGGCGGACGGGUGAGUAAUGUCUGGGAAACUGCCCGAUGGAGGGGGAUAACUACUGGAAACGGUAGCUAAUACCGCAUACCAUCGGAUGUGCCCAGAUGGGAUUAGCUAGUAGGUGGGGUAACGGCUCACCUAGGCGACGAUCCCUAGCUGGUCUGAGAGGAUGACCAGCAAACCUGGAACUGAUACACGGUCCAGACUCCUACGGGAGGCAGCAUGGGGGAAUAUUGAACAAUGGGCGCAAGCCUGAUGCAGCCAUGCCGCGGGUAUGAAGAAGGCCGUCGGGUUGUAAAGUACUUUCAGCGAGGAGGCGUUACUCGCAGAAGAAGCACCGGCUAACUCCGUGCCAGCAGCCGCGGUAAUUC